This 774-nucleotide ribosomal RNA is filed under the name uncultured Neocallimastigales. RNAcentral's name for it is "partial large subunit ribosomal RNA". It matches the Rfam family "Eukaryotic large subunit ribosomal RNA", at positions 24 to 643 of the family's 3401-position model. Lineage: Eukaryota; Fungi; Neocallimastigomycota; Neocallimastigomycetes; Neocallimastigales. The record is from RNAcentral.
UAUGUGAUCGUCUCUCGCAUAUCAAUAAGCGGAGGAAAAGAAACUAACAAGGAUUCCCCUAGUAACGGCGAGUGAAGCGGGAAGAGCUCAAAUUUGAAAUCUUAAAGGGGUUUCCCUUUACGAAUUGUAGUUUAAAGAAGUGUUUUCUGUUGAGGUUUUGGUAAAAGUUCUUUGGAAUAGGACAUCAUAGAGGGUGAGAAUCCCGUAUUUGACCUUUACUUUCAACUUUGUGAUACACUUUCAAAGAGUCGGAUUGUUUGGGAAUGCAGUCCAAAAUGGGUGGUAAAUUUCAUCUAAAGCUAAAUAUUGGCGAGAGACCGAUAGCGAACAAGUACCGUGAGGGAAAGAUGAAAAGAACUUUGAAAAGAGAGUUAAACAGUACGUGAAAUUGUCAAAAGGGAAGCGUUUGACACCAGUGUUGUUUUUCUGAAAAUCAAUUAAAGAACUGUUUAUGCUAAGUUGUUUAGACUUUAUCAGCUAACUGUUUAGUUUUGAGCUUUUCUUUAAUGCACUUUUCAGUUAACAAGUCAACAUCAAUUUCUUUUGCUGUAAAAAAGCUUGAGGAAGGUGGCUUGAGAUUCGUCUUAAGUGUUUAUAGCCUCUUGCCUAUGCAGUCGGAGAGAUUGAGGUCUGCAGCGUAGAUCCUUCGGGGCUAAAUGCAUUUGUGCUAAGUUAUAGCAUUUUAUAGACAACUUGUUGACUAUGAUUUGUCUUGUAGCUUACUCGCUUAUGUUAUUUUACCUACGCUUAGGAUGUUGACUGAUAUGUAGUCGU